AGGUGUGAUAUGUGCGAAUUGGAGCUCAGGCUGGGGGAUUACUUCAUUUCCAAUUUCAGUUAGGUGGUGAUGAAGAAAUUGAAAAAGCUUACCGAUCGACUUAGUCUGUAGCUCGUAUUGAAUAGUAGCUGUGUUGAGCCGUAUCGGAGCCUGUUGAAUUACCAAAUUGAGCCAUUCAGUUGUUAAUUGUAUGUUUCUUUUUAUCAAUUUUUAUAAUUCAUAAUUUUUGUGAUAGAUGCAUCUUUUGUCCGUUUACAUCAUGGGCUCAUUACAUAAUUUUGUAUAACUUAUGCAUUUGGA
Molecule: long non-coding RNA, 300 nt
Organism: Olea europaea var. sylvestris
Lineage: Eukaryota; Viridiplantae; Streptophyta; Magnoliopsida; Lamiales; Oleaceae
Exons: 3
Source: RefSeq, a predicted model, not a curated record